GUCCACGCCCUAAACGAUGUCAACUAGUUGUCGGGGAGGGAGACCUCUUUGGUAACGCAGCUAACGCGCGAAGUUGACCGCCUGGGGAGUACGGUCGCAAGAUUAAAACUCAAAGGAAUUGACGGGGACCCGCACAAGCGGUGGAUGAUGUGGAUUAAUUCGAUGCAACGCGAAAACCUUACCUACCCUUGACAUGCCUGGAACCCGGUAGAGAUACCGGGGUGCCCGAAAGGGAGCCAGGACACAGGUGCUGCAUGGCUGUCGU
This 265-nucleotide ribosomal RNA is filed under the name uncultured bacterium. RNAcentral's name for it is "partial 16S ribosomal RNA". It matches the Rfam family "Bacterial small subunit ribosomal RNA", at positions 793 to 1055 of the family's 1533-position model. The record is from RNAcentral.